CAGCAGCCGCGGUAAUACGUAGGGUGCAAGCGUUAAUCGGAAUUACUGGGCGUAAAGCGUGCGCAGGCGGUUAUAUAAGACAGAUGUGAAAUCCCCGGGCUCAACCUGGGAACUGCAUUUGUGACUGUAUAGCUAGAGUACGGCAGAGGGGGAUGGAAUUCCGCGUGUAGCAGUGAAAUGCGUAGACAUGCGGAGGAACACCGAUGGCGAAGGCAAUCCCCUGGGCCUGUACUGACGCUCAUGCACGAAAGCGUGGGGAGCAAACAGGAUUAGAUACCCCCGUAGUCCCUGUCUCUUACAC
Molecule: ribosomal RNA, 301 nt
Filed under: uncultured bacterium
Lineage: Bacteria
Description: partial 16S ribosomal RNA
Rfam family: Bacterial small subunit ribosomal RNA
Source: RNAcentral